GUGUGUUCGAUCAGAAGAAGAGAAAGAAAGGGGUCAAACCCUAGAACACCAAAAUCUAUCAAAUUGAAAGGGGAAUUGAAGCCUAGUUGAAUGCAUGAACUAAGAAUGGUGAUCAUCUAAGCAUACCCAACAUCAAGAUUCAUUGCUUAUGGGCGAACGGAACUUGGGAGUCAUGUCAAUAGAGGCACAAAUAUGGAAGCGCUACGGGUCGAAGGUAAACACGGAAGCUAUGUGUAAAUUCGGACGCACGAGGUAAGUAAACUCCCCGACUCCUUCCUUAGUAGUAAAAGAGGUUAUUUGUAUGAUAAAUGUUAGCAAUUAUGCAAGAUGCUUUAUUGACAUUGGUAACAAGUAAGGAGUACUAAGGACGUGAUUUCUGAAUCACUUCCUACACCAUUUUAGGAAGGCUAUAUGCGAGUCACUUAAGUAUGGUAAUCUAAGUUUAUUUAGGAUUCUGUUAUUGGAGGUGAUGGUAUUCGCUAAGAAGACCGAACGGGUUAAAAAUAAGAGAGUAUAUUAGUGUAGUUUUUAUGCAUAUAAAGAUGUGAAAACAAUGCAGAAUUGUGCAGUAAUUUGCUAGAAUAUUGGUGCAGUUUGUAUGCAUAUCAAGUUGUCAAAAUAGUGCAGAAUUGUCAUGUUUAUUGUUGUUAAAAUAGU
This 657-nucleotide long non-coding RNA is filed under the name Helianthus annuus (common sunflower). RNAcentral describes it as "hypothetical non coding rna". The record is from RNAcentral. Lineage: Eukaryota; Viridiplantae; Streptophyta; Magnoliopsida; Asterales; Asteraceae.